UGAGGAUCAAUGUGAAUUUGAAUUUACUGAUGGACAUAUAUAUACUACGUUUGGAUGGCAGCCUCCCGCAUCCGUGUCCGUGGGCUGGUCGCUGUCCCAGGACGCAUGCAGGAGAAAAAUUUACGGGUUGCCGUCGGACUUAAGCAUCGAAGAUUACAGUGCUACCUUUUUUGCCAACUGACAUGUGAAUGACAUUUUUUUAGUCACCUUCACGUCUCACAUGGAGGCGCAUAUCCAAAGCUCAUGGAACUUAUUUUCGUCUGUUACCAUAUUUGUCCUGUGUAGACUGGAAAUAAGAGCAUCACAUAUACGAGUAGUUGUGCAAUAUAGAAUUGCGUCGAACUUUGUUUGACCGCUGGCCAAAAGUGCUUUCGUACACGGCAGCUAGCCGUUCCUUAUGCUGUGGACUGUGGUGCAUAUCCACGCAACAUCCAAAAAAAAAAAUUAUUUCCGCCAUUUACCUCAGAAGUCCAAAUCUAUAUAGAGAAGUGAACAAUACAUUUUAAGACUCUGAAGCAUGACAACUUAUUUCACACCAGCAAGAUUAUUCUUGUAACACAUUAGUAAGAGACCAGAGGUGCACGGAAGCCACCAUGGCAUAUGCUCGUACCCAGACUCCCAAUACCUAUUAAUUGAUCGACGGCGGUGGCGGCGGCGUCAGGGGAAUCACCACCCCCGAGUUCUCGUUAGGGAUUGGCGAGGGAGGGUCCUUCAGUGGUAUCCUCUGUCCCAAGCGCCUAGCAGCUCCCAUCCCUGACACCUUUCCCCCUUGACUAUGAAGCCCGCCCGUUUGACCCCACGCACCAGCACCGCCACCUAGCAUCAUCACCAUAAUCACAUCAACGGACCCAAUUAUACAUACAAAGAACGAAGCGCGGAUUCGGAUACAUCCAAAGAGAACUAUAUAUACCUGGAGCAUGACGCGGUGGGUCAUGUGCGGCGGCCACACAUGGAUAGGAAGUUAGCAGGGGCGGGAGAAGGAGGACGAUGACGAUGACGAGAAAACAGGUGGCUCCCCGUUGGUACAUCUUGCCGUCUUGGGGGGGAGAGAGUUGGCUCGAUGGGAGAUCGAAAAGGUAAAGAGGAAAGAGAGGGGAUACACAAUUGAAGGAGUAUUUAAUGCAUCGGUGGUGUGUAAAGCUGAAAAUCGAGGGGCAAUAUUGAAAGAAAUCAGGAAAAAGGCUUUGUGGCAAACUAAAAAGGAAAAAGAACUACACACAAACAAAAUGAAAAACUGUGCUCGAGUCAGUAGCGUAACGAGACAAUGAGUGAGAGCUUUGCUUUGUGUGUGGUGUGAGCUGUUCGUUGUCUG
RNAcentral lists this long non-coding RNA (1312 nucleotides) under Triticum aestivum (bread wheat). RNAcentral describes it as "long non-coding RNA (TAES_LNC012569)". Lineage: Eukaryota; Viridiplantae; Streptophyta; Magnoliopsida; Poales; Poaceae. The record is from RNAcentral.